This is a non-coding RNA of Salmo salar (Atlantic salmon), 54 nucleotides long. The record is from Rfam. Lineage: Eukaryota; Metazoa; Chordata; Actinopteri; Salmoniformes; Salmonidae.
UAUGAAAUGAAAUGUAAGUCGCUCUGUAUAAGAGCGUCUGCUAAAUGACUAAAA